RNAcentral lists this ribosomal RNA (253 nucleotides) under uncultured bacterium. Its description in RNAcentral is "partial 16S ribosomal RNA". It matches the Rfam family "Bacterial small subunit ribosomal RNA", at positions 524 to 776 of the family's 1533-position model. The record is from RNAcentral.
UACGGGGGGGGCAAGCGUUGUUCGGAAUUACUGGGCGUAAAGGGCUCGUAGGCGGCCAACUAAGUCAGACGUGAAAUCCCUCGGCUUAACCGGGGAACUGCGUCUGAUACUGGAUGGCUUGAGUUUGGGAGAGGGAUGCGGAAUUCCAGGUGUAGCGGUGAAAUGCGUAGAUAUCUGGAGGAACACCGGUGGCGAAGGCGGCCAACUGGACAGAUACUGACGCUGAGACACGAAAGCGUGGGGAGCAAACAGG